RNAcentral lists this long non-coding RNA (1002 nucleotides) under Salmo trutta (river trout). RNAcentral's name for it is "lncRNA (ENSSTUG00000014388.1)". Lineage: Eukaryota; Metazoa; Chordata; Actinopteri; Salmoniformes; Salmonidae. The record is from RNAcentral.
CGUAAGUAUGCGGAUAUGCAAUUUGAUUGGCUAGAUACUUAUUUUAAAAUACAGUGCGCGAGUUUUCGCCUUUGAGUGUUGUGGUUGUCAUUUUACUUUUUUACCUUUUAAGAUAAAUGUUAUAUGUAAUAUUUUAGCAACUCGUUAGAACUGUCAAAGCAAAGGAAGUAGUACAAGACAAGAGGAUAAAUUGUCGGUUUAACGUGGUAAGUAGCUAACGUUAGCUAGCUUGCUAACGUUACCGUUAACUGAGCUGCAAAACUAGCUAACGUUAUUCACUAGCGAAAAUAUGCAUUCAUUUGUUUUGCAGAUAUGAAAAUGAAGUGUUUAAAGGUUGACGAAUACAUAAAACGGACAGCUUGUCCAAAAGAGACAAGGGUUCUACAUGAAGAAUUAGAGACUUACAUGAGAAAUGGACCUGGGCCACAAGGUCGAACAUUGUAUGACCGAGUUAUCAGGGCCUGUAACCACCAACUUGGAGUUGGGCCCCCGGACAGUGACCAUAUUGCUGGACUCAUAAAGCUGGUGGAGCUUGCACUCAGGGGGUAUGACAUCUCAGGGGAGCUUGGUGUGCAAAGCACCCCUUUGUAUAUGGAGAAAAUCACCUUUCAUGUACUCAAGAAACUGGGCUCCUUGGGAGUGUACCAUCCAUGUAGCUACUUGGGAAGCCUACUCUACCAGAGGUUGGCUCCAGCUCCACAGGUAAAGGAUGGAUGAUAGAGUACUAGUACAGUACUUCCUAUUAUAGUAACUGUAGUCAGCUGUUUUUACAUCAUCUCUGAUUGUGUCUUCUCAAUCUCUUGUUGAAUGUGUCUUCCUUCCUCUUGUGUGCCCCAUAGACAGAAGACUACUGUGUGCUUGUACGCAGCUGCUUUGCUGUACUGUGGAAUGGACUGUCUGCAGCACAAGACGGCGCCUGCCUAAACCCCAGGGACAAAUUCUGCUGCCAGUUGCAAGCCCUGAGCUUCCUGCUGCUGCUGGACAGGGAGAGAACCUCACCCC